Molecule: microRNA precursor, 201 nt
Organism: Medicago truncatula (barrel medic)
Lineage: Eukaryota; Viridiplantae; Streptophyta; Magnoliopsida; Fabales; Fabaceae
Rfam family: MIR2619 microRNA precursor family
Source: Rfam
AAACAACCCAUUAUGUAUCGGAUCGUUGGCAAUUUUGGCCCCCAAGGCUACUUUUGACUUAGUCUUCGCUGACGUGGCACCCACAAUGGACGACACGUGGCACCUCACUUAAGGGAUGUGGAUGUCAUGUCAGCGAAGACUAAGUCAAAAGUGGCCUUGGAGGCCAAAACUGCCAAAGAUCCAAUACAUAGGGUGUUGUUU